GAAACAGAAUGCUUCGUCAGUGUUCCAGGGACAUCUCUGGAAAAAAACCACCACCCCCAACAACAACAACCUGCACUUUCUGUUCUCUGAAGUAUUCAUGAGUCUUUGGCAAGGGACCUAGCUUUCUCAUUCACAUGCUGCUGCGGCAUUUUUGCUGUUGAUUUGAAAUCUUGUAGUGUCUUGAACAUCACCUGGGAAAUCAAGGUCCAUGUCAGGUGUUCUGAAGACUGCAUGUUUAAUAAAAGCUGAUGAUUAGACGUGGCU
RNAcentral lists this long non-coding RNA (264 nucleotides) under Struthio camelus australis. RNAcentral describes it as "lncRNA (ENSSCUG00000016444.1)". The record is from RNAcentral. Lineage: Eukaryota; Metazoa; Chordata; Aves; Struthioniformes; Struthionidae.